CCGGCGAGGGGAGUGAAAAAGAACCUGAAACCGUGUACGUACAAGCAGUGGGAGCCCCACCACUAAGCCAGUGGUGAACUCCACAUACGCAUCCUUUGCUGAGGAUACGGUUAACGGAGCGAAAGCGACGUUUAACCUCAAAAGAAGCAGAGGGGGCUUAGUGGUGGGGUGACUGCGUACCUUUUGUAUAAUGGGUCAGCGACUUAUAUUCUGUAGCAAGGUU
This 223-nucleotide ribosomal RNA is filed under the name Salmonella enterica subsp. enterica serovar Wilhelmsburg. RNAcentral describes it as "partial 23S ribosomal RNA". It matches the Rfam family "Bacterial large subunit ribosomal RNA", at positions 526 to 647 of the family's 2925-position model. The record is from RNAcentral. Lineage: Bacteria; Pseudomonadati; Pseudomonadota; Gammaproteobacteria; Enterobacterales; Enterobacteriaceae.